GACGAACCGUGCGAACGUUGUUCGGAUUCACUGGGCUUAAAGGGCGCGUAGGCGGAUUACCAAGUCAGGGGUGAAAGCCCUCGGCUCAACCGAGGAACAGCCUUUGAUACUGGUAGUCUUGAGUGAGAUAGGGGCCUCUGGAACUUCUGGUGGAGCGGUGAAAUGCGUAGAUAUCAGAAGGAACGCCGGUGGCGAAAGCGAGGGGCUGGAUCUCAACUGACGCUGAGGCGCGAAAGCUAGGGGAGUGAACGGG
Molecule: unclassified non-coding RNA, 253 nt
Filed under: uncultured Planctomycetia bacterium
Lineage: Bacteria; Pseudomonadati; Planctomycetota; Planctomycetia
Description: contains 16S-23S intergenic spacer region
Rfam family: Bacterial small subunit ribosomal RNA
Source: RNAcentral